UUCCGGUUGAUCCUGCCGGAGGCUACCGCUAUUGGAGUUCGAUUAAGCCAUGCGAGUCGAGAGUCUUAGGGACUCGGCGUACCGCUCAGUAACACGUGGGUAACCUGCCCUAUGCUGGGGAAUAACCUCGGGAAACUGAGAAUAAUACCCCAUAGUUCACCACGCCUGGAACGGUGGGUGGAUGAAAGCUCCGGCGGCAUAGGAUGGGCCUGCGACGUAUCAGGUUGUAGGGGGUGUAACGUACCCUCUAGCCAUCAACGCGUACGGGUGUUGGGAGACAUAGCCCGGAGAUGGAUUCUGAGACACGAAUCCAGACCCUACGGGGUGCAGCAGGCGCGAAAACUUGGCAAUGCGAGCAAUCGUGACCAGGGAACUCCAAGUGGCUGGGGUAAUACCCAGUUUUUUCUUGACUCUUCAAAGGUCUUGGAAUAAGGGGUGGGUAAGGACGGUGCCAGCCGCCGCGGUAAUACCGGCGCCUCAAGUGGUAGUCGCUUUUAUUGGGCCUAAAACGUCCGUAGCCGGUCUGGUGCAUUCGUGGGUAAAUCAACCCGCUCAACGGGU
Molecule: ribosomal RNA, 561 nt
Filed under: uncultured Candidatus Poseidoniales archaeon
Lineage: Archaea; Methanobacteriati; Thermoplasmatota; Candidatus Poseidoniia; Candidatus Poseidoniales
Description: bacterial SSU rRNA
Rfam family: Archaeal small subunit ribosomal RNA
Source: RNAcentral